GAGCGGAUGAGAAGAGCUUGCUCUUCGAUUCAGCGGCGGACGGGUGAGUAAUGCCUAGGAAUCUGCCUGGUAGUGGGGGACAACGUUUCGAAAGGAACGCUAAUACCGCAUACGUCCUACGGGAGAAAGCAGGGGACCUUCGGGCCUUGCGCUAUCAGAUGAGCCUAGGUCGGAUUAGCUAGUUGGUGAGGUAAUGGCUCACCAAGGCGACGAUCCGUAACUGGUCUGAGAGGAUGAUCAGUCACACUGGAACUGAGACACGGUCCAGACUCCUACGGGAGGCAGCAGUGGGGAAUAUUGGACAAUGGGCGAAAGCCUGAUCCAGCCAUGCCGCGUGUGUGAAGAAGGUCUUCGGAUCGUAAAGU
RNAcentral lists this ribosomal RNA (365 nucleotides) under uncultured bacterium. RNAcentral's name for it is "bacterial SSU rRNA". It matches the Rfam family "Bacterial small subunit ribosomal RNA", at positions 64 to 431 of the family's 1533-position model. The record is from RNAcentral.